GGCAUUGUGUACGGUCUCAGCGGGCUCUGAAAUACUGCAGGUUGGGGAGAGGGGAUGAGUUCUCAGGCCACAGCAGACUUCAGCACCUUUCCCCUCUCCGCCACAAAACUCUGCGACCGCUUUGGUGUCAACCCUGAGCUCAUUUUCACCGCCUCCUGCCUCCCACAGUAGCGGCAAGUAACAACGUACAAAUGCGGUACUGAUUUGAUCUAUCUCAUCUUUGUAUCUAUACGUUAUACUUUGAGGAUUUAUGUUUCGGACAGCUUUUUCAUUUGACUCCUUACGUUUGAAAUCAGACAUCUGUCAUUUCUACUCCUUACUUAGGCUCGUUAGUUUGAAGCCAUCUCGGUGGCCGUACACAAAUAUUGACACUUUGGGCACAAUUUGGACAUUUUCAUUUCGGGCUGUACUCCCUUUUGCUGUGAGCGGUUUGGAUAUUAAUGGCUGUGUGUUGAAACAUUUUGAUUGGACAGUACAUUCACACGGUUACACAAGCUGCACUCGGACUACAUUGAAAUGACAUCACAAUCUGUGAACCACGCCGUGCAAUAUCUUGCUGUUUGUAAUUCUGCUCCCUUGAAUGUUAACACAGUUAAAUACCUCCACGACACUUGAAUAGUUGAAUGCCUCUUUAAAAACUUUGGAUAUCCAUCACUUGUUGGCAAAGAGGUGAACCUCGCCCCAUCUUUGCUUGGGAAUGACUGAGCAAUCAUGGCACCCACCAGUUCCCAAUGAGCCUGUUCACCUGUGGGAUGUUCCAAACACGUGUUUGAUGAGCAUUCCUCAACUUUCUCACUUUGUCUUUUUUGCCAGCUUUUUUUGGAACGUGUUGCAGCCAUCAAAUUCCAAGUUAACGAUUAUUUGCUCCAAACAAUCACGUUUAUCAGAUUGCACAUGAAAUAUCUUGUCUUUGUCGUGGAUUUGCAAAUCAUUGCAUUCGGUUUAUUUAUGUUGAACACAACGUCCCAACGUUCAUUGGAAUUGGGGUUGCAGAACGUUCUAUGUGAGCGAUCCCUAAUAACUGCCACAUUAUAUUUUACAACUUCUCUUUGGUUAUUAUCAUUGGCAUGGCGGAGGUCGAGGAGGAAUUUCACAAUGUACAUAAAAUGACACAGAGGACCCGAUCUGGCCGCGAGCCUUGAGUUUGACACCUGUGAGGUAACGUACAGUCCUAAUGUGGUAAACAUGGAUUGAGAACACUUUGGGCCUUAAUUCCCGGCCCCCACGGCGGGGCCUCUUGCUUGUUCUUUUGGGUGGCGUAAUCGGCGCUCACAGCAGCUCCUUAUUGGUGCUCACCGAGUGUUUACCGAUUAAGCUUCUCAAUUUCAGCUGAACAGGCUGACCCAAUUUGGGAAGAGUCAGGAGCUGAGGAAACACAUUGUGUCUCAUAUGCACAAAAUGUGUGCGUGUGUGUGUGUUUAUUAUGAGCACCUGCUUUUACGUAAGGGAAAAUGUUUUCACAACGGGCCUGGUUGCAGUCUGCGGACGUGUGUCGUGUGUGAGCGUCGAAGGUUUAAGGGUAUUGUGUCGCUCUUUUAUUUAUUAGCUUCUUACGUAAGCAUUAGCUGAGGCAGGGGCAAAGGCCACCAAGAUGUCACAGUGCGCAGGGCAAUGAAAUGACUAUUGGAAUAAAUGACAAUUCCCUAAAUGAGCAUAUUUGAUUAGGCUUGAAAUGAAAUCGCUCCGAUGCGAAUGAAGUCGUUUCACUGCUUACAUUUUCAUCCGUGUGUGUUUUCAGAGCUGGAAACGCGCUGUACGGUAUCCCGUUUCGUUUGGCAACAUUUCCUUCUUGAUGACACUCGGCACUCAGGGAGCAGACCGCACAAGGCUUCAAAUGUUCUCCUUGACAGUGAAAGCGGAAAUCUUAAAUGGGAUUUCCCGCGGUAGCAGUUGUUCGGCGGUUUCGAAUGACUGUAACCUCGAUGCUAAUUUCCAUGAGCCGGCGUUUUGCAUGAAGGUCUGUGUAGAUUCUCAGUCAUCCAGGUCACGGUAAUCCGCCAAGGCUGAAUCGAGAGGACUGGACUUUUCUUGUUUGUUGAAUUUCUUUUCUCUUUCGGGAAAAGGGUAAAAAAAAACAAAAAACGACUUGCUCAAUUACGUCUAUCGAUAUUAUUCGCCGUGCCAACGAGAGGCAACUGGCUCGAGUGCUUUGUUCUGAUGGAUGCUAUCAGCAGCUUUUGUUUGGGUUGACAGCACAGACAUAAGCAGCCUCAGUCUUGGUGACAUAAUGUCAGUGUUGCUGACCACCGUCCAAAUGUAUUAUGUAAGCGUGCCACCAUGUGUCUUUAUGUAAGCAGCUGUCAUGUGUGUGUACUAGACACAAAUGACCAUUUGGACUUUUUUUUCUUCUGCUUUUGGUAAGAGCGUUCUCAAAACAUAAACAUAGCAGACCCUGCGUUACCUUGAUCAUUUCAUUACGAUGCGACUCUGGAUCUCGUCCGGCCAUUGGCAGGAUUCGGAUUUUCUGCGUCUUGGAACAACGGUCGGCCAGGGACAAGGUCAUCUUCCUGUGUGUGGCGCUGUCAGUGGAGUGAGGCCUGGCGAGAAAAAUGGACAGUAUAUAUGAAAUGAUGCCAGAAUAAAUCACAGUGAACCCCUGCUAUAUUAUGGUUCAUUGUUCGCACCACCACUAUAUCGGAUUUUUAAGCAAUCGCCUUUUUAACUUUUGAUUUGUUUUUUGUUUUUUUUAGUUCAGGCAAGCCUGAAUUCAGAGUUGCGCACCUUCAAUUACGACCACCGUGCCAAUAUGUGUCAGCUUUACAGUAAACUUCAAAUGGGAGUGAAAAAAAAGCUUGAAGCGAGCAUGCUUUGGCUCUUAUUUGGAGAAUUGUGUGAGUGCGUAUUCUUUUUGUCUGCUCACAGGGAUGCUAUACGAUAGUAUCCCAGUUCUUGAAAGUGAAAACAGGUGCUAAGGAAUACUAAAGGAGUGUGUUUUAAUAAGUUUAAGCAUGGCUUUAUUAGUCUAAAUGUUUUUAUAGGUUGCGGAAGGGGUACAAUGUUUUAUAUGGUCCCUAUAUCGCGGCAGGGUCCGGAUUAUUAUCUUUUACAUGAGCUCAACUUCCCAUAAUUGCCAUUAUGUUGUUUUUAGAUAGCAAACUAGGUCAACGGCACCUAUGCUGGUUUCAGUCAAUUAGUGCACUUUUUUUUGCCUUAAAUUAGACCUAGAGAAUUAAUCAACAAUCACUUUGACUCAAUUCUUAUUCGUCUUUUGUCAGGCACAUGUAACUUUAAAAAAAAAAAAAAGAAGGGAAUUCUAAUCCUGGCUGAUCGGUUGGUUCAACUUUUGCAGCAAAAGUACUCUUAUGCACUGGAAGCUAAGUUAAAAGUUUCAUAAUUAUUACUAAAGACUUUAGCAACCACUUGGUAAAUCACUGCAGUGAUCUGAAUCAAAGCACAGUGCCCCAUUAGAACAAAAGGCGAUGUCCAAUCUGAGUAGAUCAGAGUGUAGGGCUGUUGUGUAUUAAAUCAGCUUUGGAAGGCAUUCUACUAGUCCCAUGUGGUCUGAGAAGACAGAACAUCCAGGUGGACAAGUGGUAGCUAAGAGGAUUACGCAAACCUGGGCAGCUUGCACAAGCUAAUUCAAGGACUUGGAGCACAUUUCUCAAUUAUGCGCGAAUAGAGGUUGCUAUUGUUGCUUGGAAUAAGACUCAGCUUGUGCCUUAUGACAGCAACACACAGCAGAGGACCCCGCAGUAUUCCUUGAGACUUCAUAUCUUAGGCAAAGGUUUCUGCCUCUAACAACGCCUUCAUUGAUUAUUCAUAGACCACAGAAGGGGAUGCAAGUACCUGAACGUGAGCUUGGUUUUGAACACAGCCUGUCCCUGCAGUCCAGUACCCUGGCGGAUAAACAGGUGGUUGUGGUCUCCCUGAAGAGGAGCUUUGUAAACGUCAAACACUUCAUUCCCCAGGUGGAGGGACAUGCUUGUAGCAAAAAGAAGAGCGCAAAAAGCGGAGGGCCUGCCGUUUAGAGAGAAAUCAGACAAAGGAAUGGCUCGAUCUUUAAGACGUACCUCCCAUCGGACCAUUUGACGAUGCGCGCGUUGCUUUCCCGUAUUUCGUUUCCUUCCUCGUCUCGCUUGACUCGCCACCGAAUGGUGUUCUCCACCUGGGAAAGGCAAGGAUUCACAGUCAGUCACAGAUAAGCUGCUUUCACAGCAUCAAGUCCGAUGUAAUAUCAGGGCUCAUUUCAUAUGGGACAGCUUAUGCUUUUACAUCGAAAGGGCCCAAUAGAUGCUCACAAAGGAAAUCAAAUCGGCAGGAUUCACACAACAGGUUCAAGUGCCUAAUUCUGAUUUGUUGCCAAUCUUAAUUUCUACGUUGCAUUUAGUUGACAUGGGCUGACUAAAGUACUUUUUGGGAAGGUGUGCGCCUGUUACACCUUGCCUAAAAAUAACAGCAUUUGAGAACAAAAACAUCAUGGCUAUAGUCAAACACGAUGAUGGCAGUGUGGGGCUGGGGCUGCUUGUUAUUUCAGGGCCUGGAUGACUUUCUGUGAUGAAUGCAGCAAUGAUUUCAGAUGUCUACCAGAAAAUCCUGCAGGCAACCAUCCCGUCAUCAGUUUGGACCUCCAAGCUCAAGCGCUCUUGGUUUAUACAACAGGAUAAUACAAAACAUACCAGCAAGUCCACAUCUGAAGUGUUCAAAUAAACCAAAAUCAAGGUUCAUGAGUGGUCAAAUCAAAGUUUAAUCCCAAUGCGAUGCCGUGGUUUGACAUUUAACGCAGUUCACGCUCGGAAAGCAUCCAAUUUGACCGAGCUAAAACUAUUCUAUAAAGAAGAGUGGGCCAAAAUUCCUCCACGGCGAUGCAAAAGACUCUUCAGCAGUUAUCGCAACAGCUGGAUUUAACUUUUACUGCCGAGAGUGGCACAACCACUUACUAGGUUCAGGAGGCAAUUACUUUCUCAAUAGUGUCAUACAGGUUGGAUGGUUUGUUCUCUCUUUACAAACUGCAUUUUAUAUUUACUGUUGUCUUUGUGAGAUAUUAAAAUUUGCGGUGACGAUGUGACACAUUUAAGUGUGAUAAAUAUAAGAAAAAUAAGAAAUGACAAAUGGGGCAAAUACCCAGACAUUCAGCUAUAAUGGUAGACACACCUUCAGUUUGAGCCUGGUGCGUCCUUCUUCAUCCAGCAUUUCCUCGUCUUCAAAUUCAUCCUCAUAGUACUGUGGGUCAAAAGGUCUGCGAAGGGGAAAUUCAAUUGAAGUCAGCUUAAACAUUCACGUUAUAUUAAAAGAUAUCUGAAUUCACAUGCAUUUAUAAAGUUUAAUUGGCUCUGACCUGGGCUCUACGGAGAGGAAGUUGGGCAGCUUAACAAAGUAAAGAUCAGAGCCAAGGUCAGUGCUGACUUUGGGUAUCUCUACUUCGAUACGAGUCUCAGGCACAGGCUCCUCCUCUGCCUGUUCCCCUUCCAGGCCAUCUUCUGUAUCCUAAAGAGAACAGCUCAUCAAACUCUGCAAGCUUCAACGAGCCAUGAUAAAAAGCAGGAUUAGCGACAAGAGUCUUAGCGAAAGGCUCUGAGGGAAACACAGUUUGGUAAUUCUCAUUAAAAACGAAGGAGAUCGUAAUGCAAAAGUGCAGGUAGAUACCAUGGGCUGUCCCGGGGUCGGCGGCUUUUCUGCGUCACUGUCAGAAGAGAUGUCAUCAGCCUCGCCGAACAGAUCAUCCGCCGCAGACUUCUUGUCUGCGUGGUAGCACAGAAGAAAUGACCUUUUAAACUCUAAAAGGGAAAAAAAAGAGCUGUGAAAUGUGGACACUCAUCAGGGCCUCUUACUAUCAUUUGCACCCAUGUCGCUGUCAGAAUCGGAGUCUGAAGCGGCUUUUGCUUUGCUUCUCCUAUGGAUGAAAUCAUCUUCGCUAUCGCUUCCCUUUGCAGAUUCUGGAAAAUACAAAACAGUAAAUUAAAGCAAGAAACAGUGGGAUCAGUUCAUCUACUGUGUUUGCGUGACUUUUUGUAACACGUAUUGUGCACACGUUUCAUUCGCGCUAUGAUCCAUCGCUUGGUCGCUUUCUUGCGAUUUCAAUUACUAGCGAGCUUCGACUUGAGUGAAGUGGGGGAAAGAAAAGGUGUGUGACAGUCGCCAAUGCACUUUCAGAUGUUUAUUGAAAAGGGACAAACAGGCAAAAAGACAAAUACAAAAUGAAAACACUCGCAAGGAACAUGGGGCACAAGCAAAAUCUGCACUAACCCCGUAGUAAAAUCGCCAGCUGGCGCUGGAGUCAGAACUAGGCCACGUCCUUUAAAGGCACACGUCAACGUGUGUGUGUGUGUGUGUGACUUUCAGCUUUUUUUUAGACCUAUCAAAAUUAAACAGUUUAUUAUUUAUAUUCUCUUAUGUUUUUAUAUUUAUACUUUACAAUACUGACUAGCCGUGGCAACUCCUGAUAGGACAAGCCUAAAGUCACAACAACAACCGCAAUACUCAGUUUAUUGAUAACGUAGCAAAAAAAUUUUAAAAAAAUGGUGGUGUUUUUGUGGGGGGAUCGAACAGUUUAACAGCACUUCAAUUCCAUUAAAUCAGCUCUACAAGUAAAUUGAAUGAUUAUGUAUAUAUUACACAAGCCAGCUGAGCAACUGUGUUCACUGCUUGCCAUCACCAGUAAAAACUCAUCACAAUACUGUAGCAAGAGUUUAGAGUUUUAUUUAUCGGACUGCUAUGCUUGCAAUCAAAUUUAUAUUAAAAAAAAAUAAUAAUAAUAUUUUUUAUUUUAUUUUUUUUAAUUUCAAAUUGUUAUCCUUAUCUUGUUUGCUGUCUCUAUCGCAACUUUACAAUAAAUGAUCUUGUCAUUCAGACUAAUUGGGAAAUGAAAAUCAUUCAAUAUUUUUUGAUGGCUAUGGUCUCCAGCUAUUUCUUGGGAGUCUUGAUUAUAUAUAAUUCUAUCUAUUCUUCUACAUAUACAAAUUGUUUUGCAUCUACAUACGGUAUCUGUUGUAGUUUUGGUCUUUCCUUGAAGAAACACUCGCCCACCAAUGACAGAGCAUUAUGAGUACCAACCUGACUUUCUGUUCCUGGGCCCUUCAUCGUCAGAGUUCUCCCUGUCUUCAUCCGAGUAUUGCCGUUUCUCCUCUUCGUCCUCUGAUUGGUCACUCUUAGCCCCGCCUUCCCACUUCUCGUCAUCUGAAUGGUUCACUCGGCCUGACCCUUCUCCAUCAGAGUGAGGGGUGCCCACACCCGACCGCGGGGUUCCAAGGUCACUGUGAACACUUGAUGCAAAAAAAAAUAAUAAAAUAUAUUUGUUUUCUUUUUUUACACAAUAUACCCACAUCAUUGGGUACACCAGCAAAAUAAAAGAGAUUUAGCUUUUACAAUUAUCAUAAUGCCUGUCAAAAAGGUAGAAAAUCACUAAUUGCUAUUUCUGUCACGGUGAUUUUAGUUUGUUUGCAGGUAGGAAGGUGAUGAAAACAUUUGUCAAUUAAAACACAACACGAGUAUUUAUGUAAAGGCAGAACAUCUCAUGAGAGUCCAUAAGCUACUGACCUUCUGUCAGAGCGGACUCUGCCCCUCUCAGAGUGAGGACUUCCCCCUCCAGACAUCCCACUGCCUGCCGGGCUUCCACCAUCUGACCGCCGGCCUCCAUCUUCCUCGUCCUCUUCGUCAUCGUCUCGACGGCCGCACUCCGAGCCGCUGUGCUGCUCUGCGUCGGAGUGUUCGUUCUCAGCCUGAUCCGAGUGCACGCUGGCGUCCGACGGAUUGCCCGACCGCUCAGACUGGUUAUCGCUGUGUCCGCUGCCGCUGUGUUGACUGUGCUCCUCUUCCUCGCUGUCGUCCCCGAACAGUU
Long non-coding RNA from Phycodurus eques (leafy seadragon), 7774 nucleotides. RefSeq lists it as uncharacterized. The record is from RefSeq and is a predicted model, not a curated record. NCBI's taxonomy places the organism in Eukaryota, Metazoa, Chordata, Actinopteri, Syngnathiformes, Syngnathidae. The transcript is spliced from 3 exons.